AAAAAUGUGCGGGCCGGCAUUAUCUGGAAAUAAAUCUCACGGUGGACCACCGCGCUCACGGUAUUGCACCUCGGUCUUGGUAAUUUGCGGUGAAAUACAGAAUCAUUUGACAUGUCUUACAUCAAGCGUACGACCAAGAAAAUAAGCAUGUAAUAACAGCGCUGACGAGAUUUGUAUUAUUUAUUUCAUAAAGA
Molecule: long non-coding RNA, 194 nt
Organism: Dreissena polymorpha
Lineage: Eukaryota; Metazoa; Mollusca; Bivalvia; Myida; Dreissenidae
Exons: 3
Source: RefSeq, a predicted model, not a curated record